CUCGCACUCCUGCUGAAGUUGACAUUCUGGCGCUUACUGGCUGCUAUAUAUAGCACUCAUCGCCGUGCUGUUACUAUUCCCAGCAUUGUACAUGAGGGGGCGGGCGUUGCUUUUCUUUAGUAAAAGGAAGAAUACAAAGUUUUAGUUCACAAUGGAUGCAUUUAUUUCUCCGUGUAGAGCUAGCACACCUGAUUCAACUUGUCAAGCAAGCCCUUGACUAAGUAGCUGGUUCAUGUGAGUUUGUUCAGGACUACAACAACAUUUCCCGAGAAGAGAUUUGGGGACCACUGCUGUAAGGAUAAAGACUUGGAUUCGAAAUGAGUUCUCCUGCUCAAGUCGACUACUCACUGAGGAACCGUUUCAACGCUCAGUCUUUCUGAUGUUUAUUCUUCUAUUCUAUUCCUGGUGCUGCUGCUCCACCUCCACUUCCUGGUUAUUUUCGGCAGUGUGUGUUUUGGUGUCAGGCUCCGCGGAUGGUGGGUUUGGGAAAUACCUGGUCACGAUAAAUCAGGGGGGAGGUUUAGCUAAGAACAUGUCACCCCCUACUGCAUGGGAAGGAGAAAUGCAUGCAUAUACGGAUGUUAGUAGAUACAUAAAGUGCUGUAUUUGUAUUUGCCCCGUUUCUAAUUUUGCAUUUUUUCUUUUAAAUAUUAAAUGUUAUCAGAUCUUCAACUUCCAAUGGCCCUAUGGGGAAAAAGUAAUUGCCCCCAUACACUCGAAAUUGGGUAAAGUGUUAUGAAAUAUUAUGUAAUAUUUUAAAUUGUAUAUAACUGUCUUAAUGUUACUGGACCCCAGGAAUAGUAGCUGCUGCCAUGGCAACAACUAAUGGGGAUCUUUAAUAAAUACAAAA
Molecule: long non-coding RNA, 850 nt
Organism: Oncorhynchus tshawytscha (Chinook salmon)
Lineage: Eukaryota; Metazoa; Chordata; Actinopteri; Salmoniformes; Salmonidae
Source: Ensembl